RNAcentral lists this small RNA (113 nucleotides) under Algibacter pectinivorans. RNAcentral describes it as "Flavo-1 RNA". The record is from RNAcentral. Lineage: Bacteria; Pseudomonadati; Bacteroidota; Flavobacteriia; Flavobacteriales; Flavobacteriaceae.
CUUUAGCAGAUUGGUGCAAAAGCGAUAGUAGCGGCAUCCUUUUUUUGCUGCCAUAAAUGGCAAAAAAAGACCUGCCUUCCGGCAGGCAGGUAUAGCGGAUAGCGCGGUGGCUU